This 181-nucleotide ribosomal RNA is filed under the name Aleadryas rufinucha (rufous-naped whistler). RNAcentral describes it as "partial small subunit ribosomal RNA". Lineage: Eukaryota; Metazoa; Chordata; Aves; Passeriformes. The record is from RNAcentral.
CACCGCGGUCAUACAGGAGACCCAAAUUAACUUUAUAACGGCGUAAAGGGUGGUAACAUGCUAUCAAAAUAACUAAGAUUAAAAAGCAACUGAGCCGUCAUAAGCCCAAGAUGCUCAUAAGGCCAACUCCAAAAGAAGAUCUUAGCCCAAUGAUUAAUUGAAAUCCACGAAAGCCAGGGCC